RNAcentral lists this ribosomal RNA (349 nucleotides) under uncultured bacterium. RNAcentral describes it as "partial 16S ribosomal RNA". It matches the Rfam family "Bacterial small subunit ribosomal RNA", at positions 338 to 698 of the family's 1533-position model. The record is from RNAcentral.
CCUACGGGUGGCAGCAGUAGGGAAUCUUCCACAAUGGGGGAAACCCUGAUGGUGCGACGCCGCGUGGGGGAAUGAAGGUUUUCGGAUUGUAAAUUCUUUUCAUGUGGGAGCAAAUUAAACAGAUAGUACCACAAGAGGAAGAGACGGAUAACUCCGUCGCCGCAGCCGCGGUAAUCCGGGGGUCUCAAGCGUUGUCCGGAAUCAUUGGCCGUAAGGCGUGCGUUGGCGGGUUCGAAAGUAGUGGUUGAAAGGCGCGGGUUAAACGCGCGAACGGCACAUGAUACUGCGAGACUGGUGUGGUGGUGGGGGAAGAGGAAUGCGUGGUGUAGCAGUGAAAUGCGUAGAUAUC